Humulus lupulus (European hop) is the source of this 1499-nucleotide long non-coding RNA. RefSeq lists it as uncharacterized. The transcript has 5 exons. Lineage: Eukaryota; Viridiplantae; Streptophyta; Magnoliopsida; Rosales; Cannabaceae. The record is from RefSeq and is a predicted model, not a curated record.
CCACAAUUCGCUCAUUACACCACUCUCUUCACUACACUCCCAUUUUCUAUUAUUUUAAAAAAAAAUUCUUUUCUCUUCAUUACUCUGUAACCAGUCGAGAGGAACUGAAUGAUGCAUGAGAUUUGUUGAGGAGGGUUGAAAGAGAGAAAAAUUUAUUAGAUAUUCAGGUUGUACUUUAAGGUAUUUUUUGAAAUUUCGCUCAUAACACCAUUGUCUUCACUACUCCUUGCAUUCUCUCAUUUUCAAAUUUUUGUUUUCUCUUCUUUUCUUUGUAACAAGUCGAGAAGAAGGGGUUUCAUCAGAGUUGUUAAGGAGGGUUGAAAAAGCGAAAGAUUUUUUAGAGAUUUCGAUUGUACUUUAAGUAGGAAGAAGCGAAAGGCGGAAACUGAGGACAUGGAGAUCAAUCCGAAUAAGGACAAUGCUGCAACAAGGCGGAACUUCUACAAAGCACAGUAUAAACCAUAUCGGGCUUCACACAAGGAAAUGACUGACAAAGAGGCAAUGGAGAAUUUGCAAAAAUAAUUUACUGCCAGUUGACGAGAAGGAACGAUGGAGAGGGGAUGACCCCUUACAGAAGGAAGACUUAACUAAAAAGGAUAUGGGUUCGAAGGAGAAGACGGUCAAAGGUGGGGAGGAGAAAGAUAAACAUUCUGAAGUCGGCGAGGAGGAGGAAGGGACGUUGGAGGUGGAGGAGUCACAUCGGGUUUAUGGUAUAUGCUCAUUUGAAAGGAUAUUGCACAUUUUGAUUGUUUGCACUUACAUAUUAUUGAUUGUUUUGCUCAAACCCUCAACCAUGAAGAGAGGAAGAAGGAAGGGGCAGGAUCAGGCCGAGUCUGGUUUAUGCCCGCCUAUAUUUUGGUAUGAAUUCAAUUAAAGAUUAUGUAUUGACUAGUGUUGCAUAUUGUACUUCUAUGUUUGAUCAUUUUUGUUGCAAAUAAGAGAGGAAAUUGGUGUUGUUGUUCUAUAGAAGGAGCAGCUAGGCACUUCAAUGACUACGAAAAGGAUUGCCAAAGAACAAGAGUGGUCGAAGCUCUACUAUGAUGAAGAUUUUAACUGAUGCCAUAAGAUGCUUGUUCCACUUCAGCAAACAGAAUGAUUGGUUUUUAGCCCAUAUCAAUAUGCAAAAUGCGAUAGUCAAUUUGAUGGAUUCUUUGGGAAGUGCAAUGCACAAGGCCUCUUGACAUCGGGUUUGCACUGAAAUGGUAAGUGUGUUUCGACAUUAAAAUAAUUGAACAUGCGUAGGUGUAAAUCAUAUCAUCUUAUAAAUGUAAAAUUUAUGUGUAAUUUAAGAAUCUGGACUAGUUAUUUGCUCUAUCCAAGCCUAAAAAUUUAAAAUUUAAGAAUUUUAUUAUUACCACAAGCAAUGGGAACUUGCCCUAACAACAGAACAGGUUUGACUGGGGGGUGUACUUGUUGAAGUACAUGGAGUGUGUCUUUAUGGGCAAGGACCAUGUGGAUGAGGUAAAUCAUCUGCCUUUGUUUUGAUUUAUCGAGGCGGU